RNAcentral lists this ribosomal RNA (490 nucleotides) under uncultured bacterium. RNAcentral describes it as "bacterial SSU rRNA". It matches the Rfam family "Bacterial small subunit ribosomal RNA", at positions 29 to 507 of the family's 1533-position model. The record is from RNAcentral.
AGUGAACGCUGGCGGCAGGCCUAACACAUGCAAGUCGAACGGCAGCACAGCAGUAGCAAUACUGUGGGUGGCGAGUGGCGGACGGGUGAGGAAUACAUCGGGAUCUACCUUUUCGUGGGGGAUAACGUAGGGAAACUUACGCUAAUACCGCAUACGCCCUGCGGGGGAAAGCGGCGGACCGCAAGGCGUCGCGCGAUGAGAUGAACCGAUGUCCGAUUAGCUAGUUGGCGGGGUAAAGGCCCACCAAGGCGACGAUCGGUAGCUGAUCUGAGAGGAUGAUCAGCCACACUGGAACUGAGACACGGUCCAGACUCCUACGGGAGGCAGCAGUGGGGAAUAUUGGACAAUGGGCGCAAGCCUGAUCCAGCCAUGCCGCGUGGGUGAAGAAGGCCUUCGGGUUGUAAAGCCCUUUUGCCCGGAAAGAAAAGCACGGGAUUAAUACCCUCGUGUGAUGACGGUACCGGAAGAAUAAGCACCGGCUAACUUCGUG